This 432-nucleotide ribosomal RNA is filed under the name uncultured bacterium. RNAcentral describes it as "partial 16S ribosomal RNA". It matches the Rfam family "Bacterial small subunit ribosomal RNA", at positions 28 to 526 of the family's 1533-position model. The record is from RNAcentral.
GACGAACGCUGGCGGCGUGCUUAACACAUGCAAGUCGAACGAAGUGGCGGACGGGUGAGUAACGCGUGAGCAAUCUGCCUUACACAAAGGGAUAGCCUCGGGAAACCGGGAUUAAUACCAUAUGGUGUAAGAUGAGCUCGCGUCCCAUUAAUUAGUUGGUGAGGUAACGGCCCACCAAGAUAGCGAUGGGUAGCCGAUCUAAGAGGAUGACCGGCCACAUUGGGACUGAGAUACGGCCCAAACUCCUACGGGAGGCAGCAGUGGGGAAUAUUGCACAAUGGGGGAAACCCUGAUGCAGCAACGCCGCGUGCGGGAUGACGGCCUUCGGGUUGUAAACCGCUUUCAGCGAGGCAUUAAGGUUAAUAACCUUAGUGAUUGACGUACUCGCAGAAGAAGCACCGGCUAACUCCGUGCCAGUAGCCGCGGUAAUAC